AUUGGCAAUCCUAUGAUCAGGAACGUUUAGGAUGUGUCUACGAAAGAAUGGUCUCUUGAAUCUAACUUCAUUAGAUUACAUUCUCCCAAUCACAUAUUCCUUGGAUUUUAUCAUUUAAGCAUAUAACAUUUAUAUGAGACGGCUCAAACAAUAAUCUUUGCCCUUUAUAUGUAAAACUAGAUUAGUUUAACAUGUGAAAUGUCCGUAAAGUAUCAUCACAUGAUUGGCUUUAGGGCACAUUUCCAACACUUACACCACUACCACCUUAAUUAGAUGGUGGUCCUCUCCCUAGCCUAUAAAUACAUCCACCCUUCACCAUAACUCAUCUAUAUCCAUCCACACCAUAAUUUACCACUCAUCCAUCAAACCACACCUUGUGCCGCAACAAAGAGAAGAAGGAGGACCCUUGGACGUGCUUGCCAUUCAAGUUGGAUUGUUGGAGCGUUUUUAGGUGUUUUCAUUCUUUUGUUUUCAAUGUCUAAAUUUGUUUAUAUUUGCUUUGUGAGUAUGAGGAACUAAACCCCCCUUAGCUAGGGGGGAAUUCGAAACCAUGUUCCUGCUUGCAAUAUGAUUUGAUUACCUUCAGUUGUGAUUUCAUAAGUUGUGAAUUCAAUUUGUUUAACUACUUGAUUGAUAACUUAUUCGUGUAUGUUUAUUAAGAGUGCACACUUAGUUUGCAUGGAUGAAUAUCAUGCUAGAGUAUAAGGGAGUUUCACCUAAUAGUUACAAACUUAUAUUCACAAGUAGUGGAGGUGGCUUAUAAACGAUCGCGUUAAAUAAAUUCUUGGCAGGAGUUUCAUGCUCAUCAUAGCAACGAAUGCCUCGUCAAUACUUAUAGUUUCAUAAUGCUUAGUGAUCUUUGAUUGUAUCUUUAUUGUGCUGUUCACUUAAAGAAGUUAUGAAGAAUGCUUGAAUUGUUAUAUGCGUUUUCCCAUCCAAUUCAAUAACUUAAGGAGAACUUGAAGGUUAAUUUAAGCGGACUUAAUUAACCUGGGGUGUUGAGUUUCAUGAUUGAUCGAAAUAACAACUGAAAAUUGGUUUAUGUGCAAGUAUGUCAUGUGAAGGAAAAAAUUUGUCCUAGCUAAGAACAAGUAUGAACAUUUGAAUACACAUGCAAGCUAUUAACACUU
RNAcentral lists this long non-coding RNA (1130 nucleotides) under Malus domestica (apple). RNAcentral describes it as "long non-coding RNA (MDOM_LNC020071)". The record is from RNAcentral. Lineage: Eukaryota; Viridiplantae; Streptophyta; Magnoliopsida; Rosales; Rosaceae.